GACAUUGUAGUGUAGUGGUUACAUUGUAGCACUACUGCUGCUAUGGUCAAUGGUUCGAAUCCAGUGGAUGUAG
RNAcentral lists this transfer RNA (73 nucleotides) under Wolfiporia cocos MD-104 SS10. RNAcentral describes it as "tRNA-Ser (ACT) (tRNA-Ser-ACT-1-1)". The record is from RNAcentral. Lineage: Eukaryota; Fungi; Basidiomycota; Agaricomycetes; Polyporales; Phaeolaceae.